This is a long non-coding RNA of Micropterus dolomieu (smallmouth bass), 363 nucleotides long. RefSeq lists it as uncharacterized. The transcript is spliced from 3 exons. The record is from RefSeq and is a predicted model, not a curated record. Lineage: Eukaryota; Metazoa; Chordata; Actinopteri; Centrarchiformes; Centrarchidae.
AUUGAAAAAGCUUAUUAGGAGUUGGCUGUUCACUUUCUAUGCCCCACUCUGUAUACUACCUGCUGUGUGUGGUCAGCUGGUGCCGACUCUGCUCUGCAGCUGGUCGGAAUGAAGUCCAAGAUAGAUGCGCCGUUGAGCGGCGGUGCUGAAGGAUCUCAAGGAACGCUAUUUUGCAGGGAGGGAAGAGAGGAGUCAUUUGAGGUCAGCGAGGGGGAAAUGUGUGAACAGUAAAACAUUUCACCUUCCUGGAGGCUGAGUCAGAGCACUCUGAGCUGGGAGCAAGGAAGGAGUGAGGGAGAAUGGUGAAAUGAUGACUAUAAACUGACCUGUGACACAUCUGAGAUUACUGUAUAGAUCCCACUG